RNAcentral lists this long non-coding RNA (1510 nucleotides) under Anolis carolinensis (green anole). RNAcentral's name for it is "lncRNA (ENSACAG00000039121.1)". The record is from RNAcentral. Lineage: Eukaryota; Metazoa; Chordata; Lepidosauria; Squamata; Anolidae.
CAUCCCAUCAACUGAGGUGGUCAGUGUAGGUGUGUCCCAGGAUUCAAAUCCUCAUGUAGCUAUGGAAAUACAAUAAUUGACAUUUGGGCAAGUAUACUCUCUCAGCCUCAGAAGAAGACAAUGGCAAACCCACUCUGAGCAAAUCUUGCCAAGAAAACCCAAUGACUGGUUUGCUUUAGGGUCAUGUUGGAAGCAACCUGAAAGCACAUGGGGAUUUAUUUAAUCAAUCAGCAAAGCAGCUGUAAAUUCUUCCACUAUGUUGAAUAAUUUGUUCAUUUUUCUUAUGAUUUCAUCACAUGGACAACCCGCCUCUUCACGCGACGCUAACCUACCUGUGUUAGGAGGGAAGUGUCCUGCAAUGCUUCCACUCCAGUUGGAGGAGGAGCUUCAAUAAGAAAUCUAGUGACAUUGUGUGAUGGGCAGCAUGCCCAUUAGCAUCAUAGGACUCUAAAAAAGGUAAGUGCGAUGAGGUCCCUAAUUGUUUGGAUCUAAAGACUUGAAUAUUUCCAGCCUUAGCUAUUAUCUUUGCAAGGUUAUGAUGAUUUCAAAUAACAGAUUCAGGUCCAUUAUUUAACACAGAGGCUUAUUGACAUUACUCACAAUUUAUCAGCUCUCUACAUCAGUGCUUUCAGUAUAAACAUUUUCUAUCUUAAUUCUUUUAGAAGGUUAUGUGUUACACAAAACGAGCCAAGAAAGUGAAGUGGUUUGAUUGUUGAACUAAGGCCCCUUCCACACAGCUGAAUAAAAUCCCACCUUAUCUGCUUUGAACUGGAAUAUAUGGCAGUGUAGACUCAUAUAACCCAGUUCAAAGCAGCUAUUGUGGGUUAUUCUGCCUUGAUAUUCUGGGUUAUAUGGCUGUGUGGAAGGGCCCUAGGACUCCGGGUGAUGAAAAUUCAAAUUGCUGCUUGACACAGAAACCUAUUGGGUGUCUUGGGGUCUACGGCAGUUAUUCCCAUCAAGAGGCUACAAUAGAUGUGCUGAAAAGUGGCGGAGUGGAGUAAUACCUAAAGUGCUUUUACGCACACUGCCAAAGUUUUCAGGAAGAUUAAUCAGACAGAAGUACCUGAAAAGCUGGAAAAGCUUCAAGACACUUCUGAAUAAACACAUUCAUUGGGAGCUGGUGUCUCCUUCUCUUGUGCCUUGUAAAUCCUUGAGGAAUGCAACAGGGGCCUUGGGAUAGCCCAAAAAGAGAUUUACAGAGGGUGUGAGCCAAAACAUGGAGGACAUGUAAAGCUGUUAUACAGCUGACAUUCUCUCUUUCUUCACUGAGAAAGCCAUUCAUCCGUACGUAUUUAAGAAAUGAUCUUUUGUGAACAUACAACUUCAUAUUAUUUGCCAUUGAAAUGGGUACUUAAUCUUUUUUUUAAGUGCUUCAUGUGUUGUUCGUGUUAUUCCACCUUUUCUCCAGUUUGGCAACUCAAAUAGUAAAAGAUAAAUAAAACUCACAACAUAUAAAAUGUAAAAUAUAAAUUAACUAAGUGGUGGAUCAAAGCAGUUAAAAAUAAACCAC